RNAcentral lists this ribosomal RNA (500 nucleotides) under uncultured bacterium. Its description in RNAcentral is "partial 16S ribosomal RNA". It matches the Rfam family "Bacterial small subunit ribosomal RNA", at positions 28 to 505 of the family's 1533-position model. The record is from RNAcentral.
GACGAACGCUGGCGGCGUGCCUAAUACAUGCAAGUCGAACGAACCGCGACUAGGUGCUUGCACUUGGUCAAGGUGAGUGGCGAACGGGUGAGUAACACGUGGGUAACCUACCUCAUAGUGGGGGAUAACAGUCGGAAACGACUGCUAAUACCGCAUAGGACAUAGGAUCACAUGAUCCAGUGAGGAAAGGUGGCGCAAGCUAUCGCUAAGAGAUGGACCCGCGGUGCAUUAGCUAGUUGGUAGGGUAAAGGCCUACCAAGGCGAUGAUGCAUAGCCGACCUGAGAGGGUGAUCGGCCACAUUGGGACUGAGACACGGCCCAAACUCCUACGGGAGGCAGCAGUAGGGAAUCUUCCGCAAUGGACGCAAGUCUGACGGAGCAACGCCGCGUGAGUGAAGAAGGUCUUCGGAUCGUAAAGCUCUGUUGUUAGAGAAGAACAGCGCAUAGAGUAACUGUUAUGCGUGUGACGGUAUCUAACCAGAAAGCCACGGCUAACUACG